GACGAACGCUGGCGGCGUGCUUAACACAUGCAAGUCGAACGAAGUGGCGAACGGGUGAGUAACGCGUAAUCAACCUGCCCUUCAGAGGGGGACAACAGUUGGAAACGACUGCUAAUACCGCAUACUGAAGGUGGGGAUUGCGUCUGAUUAGCUAGUUGGUGGGGUAACGGCCCACCAAGGCGAUGAUCAGUAGCCGGGCUGGAGGGGUUAACGGCCACAUUGGGACUGGGACACGGCCCAGGCUCCUACGGGAGGCAGCAGUGGGGAAUUUUCCGCAAUGGACGAAAGUCUGACGGAGCCACUCCGCGUGGGUGAUGACGGCCUUCGGGUUGUAAAGCUCUGUUAAUCGGGACGCGGUACCGGAAUAGAAAGCCACGGCUAACUACGUGCCAGCAGCCGCGGUAAUAC
This 408-nucleotide ribosomal RNA is filed under the name uncultured bacterium. Its description in RNAcentral is "partial 16S ribosomal RNA". It matches the Rfam family "Bacterial small subunit ribosomal RNA", at positions 28 to 526 of the family's 1533-position model. The record is from RNAcentral.